This is a non-coding RNA of Hypoxylon cercidicola, 72 nucleotides long. The record is from the annotation of a GenBank genome assembly. Lineage: Eukaryota; Fungi; Ascomycota; Sordariomycetes; Xylariales; Hypoxylaceae.
GGGCGUGUAACUCAGUGGUAGAGUGCUCGCUUUGCAUGCGAGAAGUCCAGGGUUCAAACCCCUGCUCGUCCA